GAGUUAAUGCGCAAAAGGAAGAGUGAUAAAGGUGAGUCGGAGGCUAGCGGUCGCUGGGUUGUGCCGCUGGAUUUACCAAAUGUAUUCGAGAAACUUACUGCUCGAGUAUAGUGAUGGUGUGUUUGUUCGAUCGUUCCGCUAUUGAUUUUCGAGGAGGAUAACUUGGCUUUUGUAUUGGACAAGGCUGGAAGGUAUCUUUGAUACGUCACUCAUUUUUAAAAUUGAAAUAUAUCCCAUCGCACGUUUGAUCGGAAAUAAAAGAACGCGUUGGUGAAUCGACUACUUGCCUCUGAAUCAUCGAUAAAAACGAUAGAGAUAAAGAAAAAUGAUGGAAAGGUGUGGAACACCUCGGCUCUCACCUUGACUGUGUCCGUCGACGUUUUCAAUGGACUCGGCGUAAGGCGGAUACGUGGCUGCUCCCGUAGUCUGUGCUGGCGUCGUCGUCGUCGUCGUCGACUCGUCGGUCUUUUUCAUCAACGCCUGUGGACAUUAAAAGGUACCUUUAUUCUCUUUGCUCAGCUAGUCUACCAGCGGCUCUAUGUUUAUUCUGUCUCUGUUGUUGCUGUACGAGAUGUAUAAGGCAAAAAUGUAAAAAAAGAGAUAAACAAAGUCAACUACGAACUUCAAAUUCAAAUUGUAUAUUAAAGCAGCAGAUACGAGCUUUGUUAAUUAUUCGCAUCGAAACAAAAAGGAAGCCGCCGGCAACAUUAAAGCCACCAUCAAUCAUACGAAAACAAGAGUAUUAAAAAAAAUCGUUGUCAGAAAGAGACGUUAAGCUGGAUCUAAAGUAUUUCA
Long non-coding RNA from Nasonia vitripennis (jewel wasp), 795 nucleotides. RefSeq lists it as uncharacterized. The record is from RefSeq and is a predicted model, not a curated record. The transcript has 3 exons. NCBI's taxonomy places the organism in Eukaryota, Metazoa, Arthropoda, Insecta, Hymenoptera, Pteromalidae.